Non-coding RNA from Paramuricea clavata, 99 nucleotides. The record is from the annotation of a GenBank genome assembly. NCBI's taxonomy places the organism in Eukaryota, Metazoa, Cnidaria, Anthozoa, Malacalcyonacea, Plexauridae.
UAUGGAUCAGUGGCUAAGAUGAGCGAGCGCGUGGGGGUGCUAGGUCAGGACACGACAACACCCCCGCGCGCUCGCUCAUCUUAGCCACUGAUCUAUAUA